RNAcentral lists this unclassified non-coding RNA (382 nucleotides) under uncultured fungus. Its description in RNAcentral is "sequence contains ITS1". The stretch from base 1 to 105 matches the Rfam family "5.8S ribosomal RNA", at positions 50 to 154 of the family's 154-position model. Lineage: Eukaryota; Fungi. The record is from RNAcentral.
GAAAUGCGAUACGUAAUGUGAAUUGCAGAAUUCAGUGAAUCAUCGAAUCUUUGAACGCAAAUUGCGCUCCAUGGCAUCCCGUGGAGCAUACCUGGUUGAGUAUCAUUAAACCACCUCAUCCAAAUUCCAAUUUUGGAUGGACAUGAGGGUCUCAGCUUCUCCGGAGACUGCGUCCCUUUAAGUACAGAGAUGUGCGCCAUAAAGCUUAUGUCGUACAAAUGAUGUGGUAAUUGUUUAAACAAAAACUCAUCAUUUGACAUACAGCAUUUGUGCCUGCAUCCAACACCUCUCUUUUUGAGAGAAUCAUUGGGAAAAAACUCUUGCAGUUUUAACCCUUUGAAUCCUUGAUCUCAACUCAGGUAAGAUUACCCGCUGAACUUAA